Molecule: long non-coding RNA, 3089 nt
Filed under: Strongylocentrotus purpuratus (purple sea urchin)
Lineage: Eukaryota; Metazoa; Echinodermata; Echinoidea; Camarodonta; Strongylocentrotidae
Description: uncharacterized LOC115926763
Source: RNAcentral
UAAGUGUCAGACCCUGUUUAUUAAGGUAUAUUCUAUUUUUUUGAGUAAACCUAUUUUCUAUUUUUGAGUAAGCUUAUAUUACUUUAAAUUGUUGAACCCCUAUUUAAAGUGUACCUUUAAACUAUGUUUCUAUUAAGAUCACCUCUCUGGCAUAUGCUGCUGGUGAAACAAAGAGAUGGGAACAAAGAUACCCCUAUUCUAUAGGCCUUGUUUAUGUCUUAAACCCAGACCACUUCCUUUAUUCGUAGAGUACAUAAAUCAUGAAUGACCAGUGGAUACACUUACUGGUACCCCUUUGUCUUGGGGAUAGGGAAUAGUGGGGUUGUUUGCCUGGUUAGGAAGAAAGAUUGGCUUUCUCGUUGAGAGCAAGUUUAGACUUCAAGGCAGAUAGACGUGUGAUGUAACUUCCCCCAGAAGUUACUAUGUCGCAGCUUUUUAAGACCUGCCUUGAUUUUGUUUCUUAACAGUUUCACCAUGGUUCCACCAUGGUUCCAGUUCCAUUUCCCUCGGGACAAGAGUUGGGACUGCUGUCGUUGUUCAGGCAACGCUCUCCGCCUGAUCGAUGUAUUUAGUGCUUACUGACGAACGACUUGUGUUUUAUCAUUUGUACUGCAUAUGAACAUCUAUUCUUUUCUUCUAUUCCCUAAUAUGUUUCUACUGUACAGUGUAGUUUACUUUGCUCUUUUGCUAUCAUUCUUGUAAUAAACAUUGUAAAGCUUUGCAUGUAGCUGUUUUUGUAAGAAUUGUUUGUUUGAAAUCGAAAUGCCAGUUGUCACACUGGGAAUUUAUUAUCGGUGUACCUUCGACACUGAAUAUUAAUAAACACCUCUUUGGAAUCUUUGGCACAAAAUAUAUGUUUCAGACUUAUGUAUUUUAAUGGAUCUCCGUGUUUACUAAUCUUAAUUAAUUGAACCGGCGCAGGCAUAGGAAGCCUGUGUAACAAAUGGAGGCACUGCCCGGAUCUUAAAUUUUCUUAGAAAAUUAUUGUUGUUUUUCCGAAAGGAAAAUUCUGUUUAGAUAAUACAUUUUUCAAAUGGCUUUAAUUGAGUAUUAGGUUCUCUUUCUCUCUCUCUUUGUUUCGUAGAGAUUAACAAUAUUCUGUGUAUAUGAUUGUUGUGUUGAUUGCCACAACUUGUAAAACACUAAGUUGGACAUAGCGUAUAUUUGAAAGUGGUCUUAAUUUUGAAGUGUGACCUAAUCAAUUUUUGUUGCUGUUGUUCAGGUCAAAUCAGUAGCAGCCCUACUACUGACAGGCGUAACAGUAAACAAGGGGUAGCUUGUCCAGCUUAGUUGUUACUGUGGUUUCUAUUUUACUAUAUCAAUAUUCUCAUCAUAUAAUUAUUUUUGUUUUUUAUAUAAUAAUUAGCACGUUUUUGAAUCCUGAUUGGUGUUAUAAAUAGUAUAUUUAGGCACCUUAAUAUCUUAAACUAUUUUGUUAACCCUGUUUUUGGAUAGUUUAGCUUUAUAAUCUUUUUAAAAAAUGUCUGACUCUAACCCUAAGUUUAAGGCAGAGCUAGUGAAGUUUCUGGCCGAACAGGUGGCCAAAGAUAAACCUAAGAAGUGUCCCAUAAGGCGAUCUGCAAUUAUGAGUUUGCAGAUGACGCCAUCUCAUCAGGCCACAUCUGAUAAAUCUCCAGCCGCACUAGUAGUGGGUACCCAAUUCACUGUCUGGGCUGAGGUUGACGGAGUGUGUGCCCUAUGAGUGCCUUAUGGACACUAGGUCGAUCCCAAGUGACAUGCAUAUCUGCUUAUUGUUAUCACAAAAAGUUAGCGCACCGUCACUUGGAAUCCAUGACGACCUGUUCGUGUUUGGUGCAGGUGGAAUCAGAAGUUCCAUACAUUGGGUACAUCGAGGCCCAUCUGCAUUUUCACACUGACAAUUAGGUUUGCGUUCAGUCAGAGACGACGACGCUGGCACUGGUUAUUUUUAUUUUACAAGUUUUUCACAAGUACUAGCACCAAACCAAUGAUAUCCUUCAUUGCCACCACCUUUCGGGUGAAGCUCAUUCUACCCAAGAAUGAAGCAUAGUGGCAGGAGGAAUCAUUCGGCUGGAUGCGGUGUUUGACUGAAGAGGUAUGCACCCCAUGUUGAGGUCAUCUACAGAGAAUUACAUCUUGCCAUCUAGGUAGGAAAGUAUGAGAUUGGUCAAUCUCUCUCUGUCCUCUAAAAGUCUGCUGAAAUGUAUUAUUGUAUUAACUUGUAAUUAAAGAUGUCGGGACGCCAUGGUUCUAGGAGGGGAGAGUGUCAGACCCUGUUUAUUAAGGUAUAUUCUAUUUUUUUGAGUAAACCUAUUUUCUAUUUUUGAGUAAGCUUAUAUUACUUUAAAUUGUUGAACCCCUAUUUAAAGUGUACCUUUAAACUAUGUUUCUAUUAAGAUCACCUCUCUGGCAUAUGCUGCUGGUGAAACAAAGAGAUGGGAACAAAGAUACCCCUAUUCUAUAGGCCUUGUUUAUGUCUUAAACCCAGACCACUUCCUUUAUUCGUAGAGUACAUAAAUCAUGAAUGACCAGUGGAUACACUUACUGGUACCCCUUUGUCUUGGGGAUAGGGAAUAGUGGGGUUGUUUGCCUGGUUAGGAAGAAAGAUUGGCUUUCUCGUUGAGAGCAAGUUUAGACUUCAAGGCAGAUAGACGUGUGAUGUAACUUCCCCCAGAAGUUACUAUGUCGCAGCUUUUUAAGACCUGCCUUGAUUUUGUUUCUUAACAGUUUCACCAUGGUUCCACCAUGGUUCCAGUUCCAUUUCCCUCGGGACAAGAGUUGGGACUGCUGUCGUUGUUCAGGCAACGCUCUCCGCCUGAUCGAUGUAUUUAGUGCUUACUGACGAACGACUUGUGUUUUAUCAUUUGUACUGCAUAUGAACAUCUAUUCUUUUCUUCUAUUCCCUAAUAUGUUUCUACUGUACAGUGUAGUUUACUUUGCUCUUUUGCUAUCAUUCUUGUAAUAAACAUUGUAAAGCUUUGCAUGUAGCUGUUUUUGUAAGAAUUGUUUGUUUGAAAUCGAAAUGCCAGUUGUCACACUGGGAAUUUAUUAUCGGUGUACCUUCGACACUGAAUAUUAAUAAACACCUCUUUGGAAUCUUUGGCACAAAA